AAGACUAUUCUAGCGUGCCUAUGGAGAUAGGUUGGAUAAACCGAACCACAUAAUUUCUCGUCGUGUUUACUUCAGUUUUGAAUGUGUGCGUCUUGUGCAAUCUGUGUGUGUUUAGUUUUGUCCUGUUUGGUGCCACAACCGAUCAUCAGCAGCAACUUGCGGCUGCUGUUUCUGUUUCUGUUAUCCGACCAUUGCCACCACCUGUGGUCACUGUUGUGUUUCUCAAGCAACCAGAAAGUUCGUUCAGGUCAGCCGUGACACCCCAAAGAAAUGGUACCAGAGCUUCAGGCUCAGUUUAAUCAGAGAUCAUGACAGAAGAAGGGAAGAUCAACAAGUUUGAUGGAUAUGCCAGAGGACUAUCUGUAUCAGAAAAAGCCGUUGUCUGGAAAAACCAAAAGAUAUGCUUGAUGCGGACUGGGAUUUGUUGGAUCAACACGAAAAAAUUACGUUUUGGAUUACUGAAGGCCUUAUCAAACAUGUACGGAAAGUCGUCUGCAUUUCGAAUUCAACAAUUAGUAAAUACUAGAAUGAAAGAAAAAAGGUUACUUUCACAAAGUCAGGCAAGAUACCUAAAGCCAAAAAGUUAGGGCGUUUUCAUGCGAAGGCCUACAGACCAACACCAGUAUUAUUUCAAAUUCAUAGACAAUUCGACUUGAAAGGUAUGAGUUUACUUUCUUAAAAAUAAAUCUGAGGUUUUUACUAUGUUAAGAGAUGGAACACUGUUGUUGAAAAUGAAACUAACUUGAGGGUCAAA
Helianthus annuus (common sunflower) is the source of this 754-nucleotide long non-coding RNA. RefSeq lists it as uncharacterized. NCBI's taxonomy places the organism in Eukaryota, Viridiplantae, Streptophyta, Magnoliopsida, Asterales, Asteraceae. The record is from RefSeq and is a predicted model, not a curated record. The transcript has 2 exons.